Molecule: ribosomal RNA, 1854 nt
Filed under: Triticum aestivum (bread wheat)
Lineage: Eukaryota; Viridiplantae; Streptophyta; Magnoliopsida; Poales; Poaceae
Description: partial small subunit ribosomal RNA
Source: RNAcentral
AUGAGCAGAGCUGAUGGAGCCAAGUGGUCGAUUACUGGGGUCUACGGGCCACAGUCUGAGGGAGACAAGGUGUUGUUCAUGGAAGAGUUACGAAUGAUCAAGCAACACACGCUCCCAAGAUGGAUGCUCCUGGGGGAUUUCAACAUGAUCUACAAAGCAAGUGAGAAGAGCAAUAACAACAUUAACUUGAGGCUGAUGGGCAGGUUCAGAGCCAUGAUCGAGGAUCUCGAGUUGAUCGAUUUUCCGCUGUUGGGAAGACGGUUUACAUGGUCCAAUGAACGACAGAACAUCACCCUUACCAAAAUAGACAGGGUGUUGGUUUCCAAUGAGUGGGAAGCAGCUUUCCCACAUUAUCAGCUGUCCCCUGCCUCUACAAAUGUUUCUGAUCAUUGCCCCUUGAUCCUCAAGAAAAUGGAGACAGCGCACUACAAGGCGUUUCGUUUUGAGAAUCACUGGCUGAAAUGCUCGGAGUUUGAUGGUAUUGUAACCCAAGCUUGGUCUAAAGAGGUCAAAUCUGGUGACCUGAUCAGGGUGCUGCACACGAAACUAUCUAGGACUGCUAGAGCGCUGAAAGAGUGGAACAAGCACAAAAAGAGGGACACGGUUUUCCUCUCGGGGGUGGCAAACGAGGUCAUUUUCAUGUUGGACUUGGCGCAGGAGGAAAGAGAGCUUUCAGAGGGGGAGAGGAAUUUACGGGCUAUGCUCAAGGCAAAAUUGUUGGGUUUUGCGGCAGUCGACAGGGCGCGGUGGAGGCAGAAAUCGCGAUUGACAGAGAUCAAGGAGGAGGAUGCCAGCACGCGCUUAUUCCACCUAAGAGCUAGUGGAAGAAGGCGCAAGAAUUACAUUCCAACUUUAAAGGGGCGUGACGGGCUAGUAUCUGAUCAUGCUGGUAAGGCGAAGCUGCUGCUGGACAGAUUCCGGGAACUCAUGGGAACCCCUCAUGGGCGAUCGGCUGGGCUGAACUGGGAGGAACUGGGGCUGCCAAGAGACAGUCUGGAGCAGUUGGAGGUUGCUUUCACUGAGCAAGAACUGCACGCGGCGAUCAAUGAUUCGCAUGGGGAAAAGGCACCCGGCCCAGAUGGAUUUACGGGAGCAUUUUUCAAACACUGCUGGUCCACUAUCAAGGGGGAUAUACUAGCUGCGGUUAACUGUGUGCAAAGCCUGAGAGGGCAGAAUUGGAAUAUUUUGAAUACGGCCAAUGUGGUGCUACUCCCGAAGAGAGAUGGGGCACAGGAGGUGGCUGACUUCAGACCCAUUUGUUUGAUACAUAGCAUCCCAAAAUUGGUGAGCAAGAUGCUUGCGUCCAGAUUAGCACCAGUGAUCCACAAGCUAGUGACGCACAACCAGAGCGCCUUCAUCCGAGGUCGAUCCAUCCAGGACAAUUUCCUCUACGUUCGGAAUGUGAUCAAGGCCGCACACACUGCCAAAUCUCCCAUGGUGUUCCUGAAAUUGGAUAUAGCGAAAGCAUUUGACUCCGUGUGCUGGGCUUUUCUCCUGGAGGUGAUGGAGGCAAUGGGCUUUGGACAGAGGUGGCGUGAUAUGAUAUCACUGAUGCUCUCAUCGUCCUCUUCACGUGUGCUGCUCAACGGAGUGCCUGGGGUGCCGUUUCACCAUCGGUGUGGUUUAAGGCAAGGGGAUUCUUUGUCACCAUUGCUGUUCAUUCUGGCAAUGGAGCCGCUGCAGAGAUUGCUUCAGCUGGCGACAGAGAGAAACAUUCUAUCGCGGCUACGACCGACGGUAGCGCGCUUCAGAUCUAGUUUCUAUGCCGAUGACGCAGCUUUGUUCAUUAACUCGGUAGCAGAUGAUUUUAACGCUGUACAGGCCAUUCUCACCCUGUUUGUGCCUCUGGAUUAA